Molecule: long non-coding RNA, 111 nt
Organism: Octopus sinensis (East Asian common octopus)
Lineage: Eukaryota; Metazoa; Mollusca; Cephalopoda; Octopoda; Octopodidae
Exons: 2
Source: RefSeq, a predicted model, not a curated record
CUCCAGCAUGGCCGCAGUCAAAUGACUGAAACAAGUAAAAGACAAAAGAAGAUAUUUUGACCAGUUUGACCUCUUGUUAUCAAUCCAGUUGCUUACCUAGGAUAUUUGUAG